GACGGGAUCACUUUUUAGUGCUUGUCGUGGGUGAUGUUGAGCUUCGCGGCCUUCGUUGCUUUGCGUUAUGGUGCUUUUAGGUGUACUUUUCCGUAUGGUAGGUCAACAUCGAUUUUAAUCGUCAUAAAAUGAUCGGAGGAAUGUGGCUUCGAUCUCGUAUCGGAGUGUUAUAGCCUUUGGUAGAUGUGACGAUUGGGAUCGAGGAUUGCAACGAAUACCCUUUGGGCUAUCCGUCUGACCUCUGAAAGUCACUCGGGUGUCGAAAGCGUGCUUAUGACAUUCUAGUUGGCGGUCAAAAGGUUAGAACGCGAUUACAUUCGUUAAGGAUGUUGACGUA
This 337-nucleotide ribosomal RNA is filed under the name uncultured Glomeromycotina. RNAcentral's name for it is "LSU rRNA". The record is from RNAcentral. Lineage: Eukaryota; Fungi; Glomeromycota.